Molecule: long non-coding RNA, 557 nt
Filed under: Ananas comosus (pineapple)
Lineage: Eukaryota; Viridiplantae; Streptophyta; Magnoliopsida; Poales; Bromeliaceae
Description: long non-coding RNA (ACOM_LNC009068)
Source: RNAcentral
UAGAAUCCUAAUCAGACUUCGAUAGGAAGUCAAUAUGGACUCUAUAUUAAGGGGCAUUGGUCCUGUCACAUUCUCAUGUGUAAUUUGGUUAAGAAUUAUGAUUGAUUCCACAUCAUAUGGAAGAGUGCCUGAGAAAGAAGGAUAAACCAAAUUACGCAAGUUCAAUUGAUGACAUUCAAAUUAUAGCCGAACUUCUUGCUUCCGUAGAUGAUAAAGAAUUUCGUCCUUAUGGCAUUCUGUGAGUUAUUGUAAUUUUAUUUAUGAUUCUCCAUUUUGGUAUGUAUUUAUUUUUAAGAGUUAAUUGCAUACAAGUUCCUGCAAAUAUAGUGAAUUAUAAAUAUAUCACUAAAAAAUUCAACUUUCAUAUGUUGUCCCUACAAAAGUUCUAUAUUUUUAAAUAUGUCCCUCUAGUUUGUUAUCGUUAGAGAACUAUUUUUUUUAACAGUAGAUAAAUAAAAUGUCAAUUUUGCCAUCAGAAAUAUGUCCCUCCAAAGCCCCAACUACUAUAAUCGUGAAAAAAUGUUCCCCAAAAAAUUUUCAACGGACAUCUUUGUCAC